Heterocephalus glaber (naked mole-rat) is the source of this 305-nucleotide long non-coding RNA. NCBI's taxonomy places the organism in Eukaryota, Metazoa, Chordata, Mammalia, Rodentia, Bathyergidae. The record is from Ensembl.
UGCAGAUGUAGAACAUGGAAUGUAAAGAGCAAAGAAGUAGAAGAAUACUGGGGAAAUGGCAGCAACAGAGGAUGAACCAGCAAGGUGGAGACCAAUUGGGAAACCAUCAGAAAGAAUAAUGAUUUCCUCAUGCUGAGAAGAAGUUCUUGAUGAACUUAAAACGAAUUCAUAUUGCAAGGAAAAGAUUUAAAAUUAAGUGCAUUGCAACAUAUCAAAUACUGAGGCAUUGUUGUGAUAGAGAUGGAAAAUAAAUAGAAACGACAGCAGCAGCCACAAAAUGGGAGCUGAUAAUACAGUAAUUGAAA